Molecule: long non-coding RNA, 855 nt
Organism: Carassius carassius (crucian carp)
Lineage: Eukaryota; Metazoa; Chordata; Actinopteri; Cypriniformes; Cyprinidae
Exons: 3
Source: RefSeq, a predicted model, not a curated record
CUUGUAUGUCCUCCUGAUAUUGUGUUUGCUGUGUUGUCGCCUAUGAAAGACACUUCUGGGUAGCAUAUUGUUGAUCUACCGAAGGUCUUGGCUGGAAUACGCUGUGUGCGCAUUGUCAUCACCUCUUGGAAUACGAGUUGAGGUUCGUAUGUGGGGGAAGUAACCAGGGAGUCCCAUUUCCAUUUAUGUUGGGUGUUGUAUUCCUAGAGAAUGAUUGUCACUGCUGCUUUGCCUCCUGUAGUUUUAAUGUAAUUGUAGCUUUUGCCUUAGUUCGUUUUCUUUAUUUUUGUUAUUUUGUUUGCCCAUUUGAGCUGGCCUAAACAUAAGCGUGGUUGGUUCUCUUGUUAGUUUUUUUUGUGGGCCGUAACUGGAGUACUAUUGGCUGCCCUAGUAGGUUUAAUAGUAAUAUCAAUUUUCCUUCUCCUCUUUGGGGAAGUAGAGUGUUGAAGCUAGUUUGUGGAGUAGGCUGCCAGAUUUGAGUCCUCUUUUUAUAUCGUGUUGCACACAGUAUUUGCAGUGGUAACGUGCACCUCACUAUUUGCAGUGAUUGCUCUUGUAGUGUCUGUGCCUAUGAGUGUGUGUGUGAGUAUGUCUGUGUGAAAAGGCAACAGAAUCAGCUGCACGGGUGGUGUGUUGGUCUCAUUCCUCUUCUAGGACAGGCAACCUCUCCCCAAACAGCCGAACCAUCGAAACAUUCAUUGUUUGUAUUUUUGAUAUUUCAGGUGGCAGCCACUAUCUCCCUCUAGCUGGUCUAGGGUGUCUAAUCUGUAUCGUCCCAUAUUAUUCUGAGAAACAAGCCCCAGACUGUUGUUGUAUUGAAUUACCUGUUAAUAAAUAGUUGUAUUUUUAUUGAAA